Molecule: ribosomal RNA, 460 nt
Filed under: uncultured bacterium
Lineage: Bacteria
Description: partial 16S ribosomal RNA
Rfam family: Bacterial small subunit ribosomal RNA
Source: RNAcentral
CCUACGGGUGGCAGCAGUGAGGAAUAUUGGUCAAUGGGCGGGAGCCUGAACCAGCGAAGUAGCGUGAAGGAUGAAUGCCCUACGGGUUGUAAACUUCUUUUAUAAAGGAAUAAGGUGAGGCACGUGUGCCUUUUUGUAUGUACGCUAUGAAUAAGGAUCGGCUAACUCCGAGCCGGCAGCCGCGGUAAUACGGAGGAUCCGAGCGUUAUCCGGAUUUAGUGGGUUUAAAGGGAGCGUAGAUGGGUUGUUAAGUCAGUUGUGAAAGUUUGCGGCUCAACCGUAAAAUUGCAAUUGAUACUGGCAGUCUUGAGUACAGUUGAGGUAGGCGGAAUUCGUGGUGUAGCGGUGAAAUGCUUAGAUAUCACGAAGAACUCCGAUUGCGAAGGCAGCUUACUAAACUGCCACUGACAUUGAUGCUCGAAAGUGUGGGUAUCAAACAGGAUUAGAUACCCCUGUAGUC